AUAGCCGCGGUCGGCUGUUAACCGAUUGGUCGUAGGUUCGAAUCCUACU
Molecule: transfer RNA, 49 nt
Organism: Nicotiana attenuata
Lineage: Eukaryota; Viridiplantae; Streptophyta; Magnoliopsida; Solanales; Solanaceae
Rfam family: tRNA
About the family: Transfer RNA (tRNA) molecules are approximately 80 nucleotides in length.
Source: Rfam